Molecule: unclassified non-coding RNA, 321 nt
Filed under: Hevea brasiliensis (rubber tree)
Lineage: Eukaryota; Viridiplantae; Streptophyta; Magnoliopsida; Malpighiales; Euphorbiaceae
Source: RNAcentral
GUGAUUUUCCCUUUGCUGGAAGGUGUGGACCUUGCUUCCUGCAUGGCAGUGUGCAAGCAGUGGAGAGACAUUGCGCGAGAUGAUUACUUCUGGAAAUGCUUGUGUGCCAAGAGAUGGCCUUCAACCUGCAAAACGCCCAAUCCUCCAACAGAUACCUACUACAAACUAUAUCGAAAUUUUUACAAACGCCCCAAUAAUCGGUGUCUUCUCCCUCCUCGACUUUCCUUUGAUGAUUUAGAGUUUUUUAUCGACAUUUGGAGUGAAAACAGAUUAAUCUUCUCAGAAGUGGUUUCAGGUCAAGUCCUCCAGAAUGGUAUGAAG